Molecule: ribosomal RNA, 2577 nt
Filed under: Triticum aestivum (bread wheat)
Lineage: Eukaryota; Viridiplantae; Streptophyta; Magnoliopsida; Poales; Poaceae
Description: partial small subunit ribosomal RNA
Source: RNAcentral
AUGGCUGAAAUCAGUGAUGCCCCAACAGUUACUUCCGGUGAGCUUGCGGUUGUAUUGCGAGCGAUGGAUGAGAAAUACAGGGCUCUGUUUGAUGCAAUCAGCAAGCAAGCUAGCAGCUCCAAAUCAGAGGCUGAAAUAAAGGAGGAGAUACAUCCCUUACAGAUGCCACAUGUGAAGUUAGAGGGUCCUGAGAACUAUGUAAGCUGGGCUGAGCAUGCUGAAACCAUCCUGGUUUCAAGGAAAUUGGAAGGAUACAUCCUUGGGACAGUAGAGAAACCUGAGGAAGAAGGUUCAAAAGAAGGCCAAAAAUGGAGAGCAACCAAUGCUUUGGUCAGGGCAUGGCUUCUGAGUUCGAUGUCUUCUCAGAUUGCAAAGCGGGUUGAGAGAAUCAAAGAUGCUUCAGAGAUUUGGAGGCUCCUGAAAGGCACAUAUUCAGGAGUGAGAAAUGAGAUGUUAGCAUGCAAAAUUCAAAAGGAGUUGCAGGAGCUGAGCCAAGGUGAGAGAAUAGUGGUGGAAUAUGUGUCUGAACUUAAAAGGUUGUGGAGUGACCUGGACUACUAUGAUCCAGUUGAAAUGGAGUGUGGGAAAUGUAUUGAGAAGCAUAGUAAGUGGACUGAGAGGAGACGUGUUAGAGACUUCCUAAAUGGCCUCCAUCCCAGGUUUGAAAAUAGGAGAGCAGCUCUAUAUGGCAGUGGGAAGCUACCAAGUCUUGAGCAAGCAAUUUCUGCAAUAGCGAGUGAAGAAACUCGGGUAAGGUUGGAGGCAGCAGGAUCGGCUUCACAGGGAGUAACGCAAAGGCGCUCAGUUUUCUUGGCUGCAGGAGGUGGAAGAUACCAAAGAACAGGAGCAGGUAACGGUGAAAGAAAAUGUUUUGAAUGUGGAUCACCAGAACAUCUUGUGGCAGGCUGCCCUAAAUUGAUGGGAGGAGGUCGUGGUAGAGGCCAGGACUGGCGAGGUAGAGCCAGAGGCAGAUUAUUUGAUGCAUGUGGUGGCCGUGGAAGAGGCAUGUUGUUUCCCGGAAGAGCAAACACUUCAACUGCCGAGGAAGUGUCUCAGAAAUUGAGCAUUGAGAUAACCCCCGAUGAGCUAGAGAAGUGGCGUCAAUUCAAGAACCUAAAUCUUUGUGUCGAACAGCCUCAGGAGUCACAUGCAUCAUCCUCUUCAUUAGCAAUUUUUUCUGGUAAUAAUUCUCAUACUGUAAUGUGUACUGAUUAUCUUGCAGCUGGUGCACAAUGGUUAAUUGACUCAGGGGCUUCGAGACAUAUGACUGGUUCUAUUAGGGAGUUGUCCAACUAUAUUCCUGUUUUUAAAAAGGAAAAUGUGAAAUUGGCUGAUGGUUCAACCCAAGCCAUUGUUGGGUCUGGAAUUGUCAAAUGCAGCCCAAAUAUGUCAUUAUCUUCAGUUUUACAUGUUCCAGCAUUCCCAAUUAAUCUUCUAUCUAUAAGCUGCAUCACUAGAGAGCUAAAUUGUGCUGCAAUAUUCUUCCCCACUUGGUGUAUUUUUCAGGAACUUGGAACUGGAAAAGAGAUUGAGAUAGGGAGCAUGCGUGAUGGGUUAUAUUACUUGGAUAGUAAUAUAUUUCCUGCAGUGGCUGCUACAGUGUCUCCCUCGUCACUAGAAGAAUUCCUACUUCAACAUCGUCGGUUGGGACAUCUUUCUUUUGCUAUUUUGGGUCAGAUUUACCUUAAUCUCUAUUGUAAAAUUAGUAAAGAACAACUAAUGUGUGAUGCUUGUCAGUAUGGAAAGCAAGUUAGGAGCUCUUAUUUAUCAUCUGAUAAUAGAAGUGAUGUGCCUUUGCAAACUAUACAUUCAGAUGUGUGGGGCCCUAGCAAAGUGACAUCUAUUAAUGGUUAUCGCUACUUUGUCACUUUCAUUGACUGCUGCACUAGAACUACCUGGGUUUAUGUGUUACGCCAUAAAAGUGAAACAUUUGAAUGCUUUAGAGAUUUCCAUAAUCUGGUUAGGACUCAAUAUAGUGCUUGUGUGAAAGUGUUACGAACUGAUAAUGGCACAGAAUAUGUGAAUGGGGACUUUGAUGAAUAUUUGUCAAACUUUGGAAUUAUCCAUCAAACUAGUUGCCCAGGUACUUCAGAACAGAAUGGUUUGGCAGAAAGGAAGAACAGGCAUAUUUUAGAAAUUGCAAGGUGCAUAAUGUUUGCCAUGAAUGUUCCAAAGUACUUGUGGAGUGAAGCAGUGAUGACUGCAGCUUAUUUGAUGAAUAGGAUACCUUCUCGGGUGCUUGGCUACAAGACACCAAUAGAGUGUCUCACUGGGAGAACUACAUAUGUAGUUCCACCAAAGGUGUUCGGGUGUACAUGUUUUGUAAAGGACUAUAGGCCUUCGGUUGGGAAGCUAGAUCCAAGAGCAGUAAAGUGUAUAUUUGUGGGGUAUUCUGGUAAACAGAAGGGCUAUAAAUGUUGGUGCCCAUCCGAGAAGAGAAUGUUUGUGAGUAUGGAUGUGGUGUUUCAUGAACAUGAACCAUUUUAUGGGGAAUCAGUCGACUUAUCUGAUGUAUUUCCCGAUUCGUUUACUGAUGACCUCUUAGAUGCAAACUAUGAGACAGGGGGAGAUAAAUAA